RNAcentral lists this long non-coding RNA (336 nucleotides) under Elaeis guineensis (African oil palm). RNAcentral describes it as "long non-coding RNA (EGUI_LNC019926)". Lineage: Eukaryota; Viridiplantae; Streptophyta; Magnoliopsida; Arecales; Arecaceae. The record is from RNAcentral.
AGAAGGGAAGGUUUUGUUGGGAUUUUUGCCACGGAAAGGCACUCUUUUUUUGAAGAAAAUACGUAUUCCUACAUUUCAUCAUGAAAGGAAGCGAUUAUCGUAAAGGAUACAGAUUUCUCUAUAAAUAGCUGAUCAAUCGCCCAUAUCACAACACAACAACAAUCCCAAUUUUGUUGGAUCAAUGUGAUUCUUUAGCCAUUAGUGAAGGCACAUUGGUUUGAUCCGUCAGCGUAAAACAUGAUCAAACAUUGGGCUUCGUUGUAUCUUAAAGGCCUAUCACAUAUUCUACAUACAGAUUGGUGAAGGCGAAUAAAACCUUAAGAAAAGUAGCAAUGC